Molecule: transfer RNA, 84 nt
Filed under: Rhodopirellula baltica
Lineage: Bacteria; Pseudomonadati; Planctomycetota; Planctomycetia; Pirellulales; Pirellulaceae
Also listed under: 3 other names
Source: RNAcentral
GGAAGUCACCCGGCCGGAUGAGGACACUGUCUUGAAAACAGCUGCGGCUAAUCACCGUUGUGGGUUCGAGUCCCACGGCUUCCG